UACGAGGGGGGCAAGCGUUGUUCGGAAUUAUUGGGCGUAAAGGGCGCGUAGGCGGCGCCACAAGUCACUUGUGAAAACUCUGGGCUCAACUCAGAGCCUGCAAGCGGAACUGUGAUGCUGGAGUAUGGGAGAGGUGCGUGGAAUUCCCGGUGUAGCAGUGAAAUGCGUAGAUAUCGGGAGGAACACCUAUGGCGAAGGCAGCGCACUGGACCAUAACUGACGCUGAGGCGCGAAAGCUUGGGGAGCAAACAGG
This 253-nucleotide ribosomal RNA is filed under the name uncultured bacterium. RNAcentral describes it as "partial 16S ribosomal RNA". It matches the Rfam family "Bacterial small subunit ribosomal RNA", at positions 524 to 776 of the family's 1533-position model. The record is from RNAcentral.